GCGGGCAGAAAGAUCUGUGUUUGUUAUUGUUUUGAUCAAGAUAGCAGAUCCUGCAUUGAACUCUAGUAGUAACUCAGUAAUAGGCUUUGUGCUAUUUUGAUUUAAAACAGACGAAAAGCGGGGUGAAAAAUUGUUGGAGAGGGAAUAAGAGGCAUAAUAUACGUUCACAUUCUGGGAAAACACAUGGCGAAUCCAGUACUACGACAGAACAACUACAGGAUUGCACAACCAGACUUUCUCUGCCACCAACCUAUAUUUUAUGGGAUGCUUACAAGUGAUAGGUCAUGGUCAAUAUCCAAAAUCAUUAUUUUAUAUUUUACUAUCUGUGCAAAAUUAAUUUGUCUGGUAACAUUGUAAUGUCAUGGUACUGCCAAUAAUAAUCUUAUAGAUACACUUCAAGAAAAUGGAAUGGUGUACAUUCGAAUGUGAAAACCCACUGUCAUAAAAUGUUUAUUGAAGUGUAUGACACUUGUAUCCCAUGUGCUGGAGUUACUGUUGUAAUGAAUGUGAUUUUUUAGUAUGACAUGUUAAAAACAACUGCAGCAAAAUAAAUUUGAUUAUUGCAAAAGGA
Molecule: long non-coding RNA, 571 nt
Organism: Schistocerca gregaria
Lineage: Eukaryota; Metazoa; Arthropoda; Insecta; Orthoptera; Acrididae
Exons: 2
Source: RefSeq, a predicted model, not a curated record